Molecule: long non-coding RNA, 255 nt
Filed under: Pan troglodytes (chimpanzee)
Lineage: Eukaryota; Metazoa; Chordata; Mammalia; Primates; Hominidae
Description: long non-coding RNA NONPTRT004024
Source: RNAcentral
GGAACAAACACCUUCUUGGAGUCUUCUCUCCACUGGCAAGCUAAGGAGGAGAGAGGCACAAGGUAUAUCUGCAGAAGUAACCCCAUGGAUUUAAAAGUAGCUACAGCAUCAAUUUAAAGGUUCAAUGAAGAAUGUACAGCCAUGUAGAACUACAAUUGGGGAAAACAGGAAUAAUCUAAUGGAAACAGACCGAGUCGGGAAACCUAUCAAGCCCCGUCAGCUCAGCUUCUUCUUGGCCUCUCCGUGCAGCAUUUC